CGGGGCGCAGCAGUGGGGAAUAUUGGACAAUGGGCGAAAGCCUGAUCCAGCCAUGCCGCGUGAGUGAUGAAGGCCCUAGGGUUGUAAAGCUCUUUUACCUGGGAAGAUAAUGACGGUACCAGGAGAAUAAGCCCCGGCUAACUUCGUGCCAGCAGCCGCGGUAAUACGAAGGGGGCUAGCGUUGUUCGGAAUCACUGGGCGUAAAGAGCACGUAGGCGGAUCUUUAAGUCAGGGGUGAAAUCCCGAGGCUCAACCUCGGAACUGCCUUUGAUACUGGGGAUCUCGAGUCCGGGAGAGGUGAGUGGAACUGCGAGUGUAGAGGUGAAAUUCGUAGAUAUUCGCAAGAACACCAGUGGCGAAGGCGGCUCACUGGCCCGGAACUGACGCUGAGGUGCGAAAGCGUGGGGAGCAAACAGGAUUAGAUACCCGAGU
Molecule: ribosomal RNA, 432 nt
Filed under: uncultured Beijerinckiaceae bacterium
Lineage: Bacteria; Pseudomonadati; Pseudomonadota; Alphaproteobacteria; Hyphomicrobiales; Beijerinckiaceae
Description: bacterial SSU rRNA
Rfam family: Bacterial small subunit ribosomal RNA
Source: RNAcentral